Gallus gallus (chicken) is the source of this 1603-nucleotide long non-coding RNA. RefSeq lists it as uncharacterized. The transcript is spliced from 2 exons. The record is from RefSeq and is a predicted model, not a curated record. NCBI's taxonomy places the organism in Eukaryota, Metazoa, Chordata, Aves, Galliformes, Phasianidae.
UAUAUUUACUGUUAAUUCACAUAGAAAUAUGAAUCUAAUAUUUAUUUAAUAAGAAGUCCAUAUUUUCCUCCUGUUUCUCAUACUGUUAUCAUAGAAGAGUAACUCUGCCUGGAAUGCCAUUAUAACAGCUAGUAAAAUCCUGUGAAGUAAAGGAAAAAUAAAAAAAUAGAAGAGGAAGGAAUAUCCAAUAGAAUUAGUCUGACAACAAAAUAAAAUACACUGAAUCAACAUUCAAAGAAUGACUGAGCUAGUAUACUCCUGCUUUUAAGCUUUUCUUCAGAUUGACUGAAGCAUGUAUCUUGGGAAUGCACAAAACUGGAGACUUGUUCUACCAUUCUUGCUUGGAAAAAAAUGACUUUGAAGCAAAGGGAAAAGAGACAGAACUAACAGCCUGGGGAAAAUAAAUAAACAAAUAAAUAAAUAACUGUGCAAAAACUGAUUUAUGAUAUCCAGAAUCUUACUGUAUUAUCUCUUGAACAAACACCAAUAGCAGACAAAUCUAAACCUAAAAGAAGGUGUAAGAACUCUAGCAACUGAUCCUGAUUACUGGCAUUGAUUAGCCUAAGCAUCCAUUUAACAAACCUAUUAGAUUUUCAGAAAGAUGCUAUUAGCAGCAAAAUGUCUAGUAGAAUUUUAAAAUGUGGAGGUGCUUAAUAAUUUGAGAAUUUUUCUAACCCAGAACAAAAGGUUUUAAACUCAGCACAGUAAUUCCAUGUAUUUCUUACAUUACAGCCCAGAAUACCAAAUCUGCAGUCCACCAAGAGAAACUACUCCUUUGCAGUAGCAGUCCAAUGGAGGAGAUUAAAGAAGCACUUAAGAAGGACAACCUAGAAGAAGAGCCAGCGGCUAUUUGCUUUGUAACAAGAUUCAGUGAAAAGAGGAGUAUAGCAUUUCUGUGCAUAUGCUUACAAUUUUUGUUGUUGUUGUUGAUAAUGUUACUGUCUAGCAAGGAUAACAUUCUCUGAAUGUUCUUACUCCUCUUUACCAGCAGGACUCAGUACUGCUGAAGGCAAAUAAAAUAUUAGGCUUUUAUUGAUCUUUUUAUAUUCAUAAAUGCAGUCAUACAUUUUGAAUGAUUAGUUACCCCCAUUAAAAAGAGUAAAACUAACAAUCAUUGACACCCCUAAUCAGAAUAUCUCUAUCACAGCCCCACAAAGUUGAGGAAGUGUAAGGAGUGUAAUGAAUAUUAUUUUAGUUACAUCAUGAAAGAGAAAUGUGUUCUUACUCAGAAGAUUACAUAUCCGUCAUAAUGCUUCGAUCAGUCUUGCAGUGUGACACUUUCUGCCUACCCAGAAUAAAGAAUCUAAAUGUCAUGAAAACCACACAACACAGAGCUGCUGGAACAAACCAAGCCAAACCCCAAACCACAAAGCCACAAAGAGCAACCAAAAUAUCAGCAGCAGAACAGAGAUCUCAUCAGACGUAUAAUGUCCCUGCUUCUCAUGUUAAUGCACACAAAGCUGGCCACAACAGCACCAUUCUUCCAGUGAGGAACAUCUCUGCACUGAUUAUAUGUGAGCAAGAGUGGCAUUUGCUGUAUUUUUUUAAUCAUUUUCUGUAAUCUUUUUUUUUAAAAAAAAUAAAAUUGUACAGAUUUAAGGUC